GGGAACCUUUAACCUGACUGUCUCACAUGUAGAGCCAUCAGAUUCAGCAACAUACUACUGCGCUUUUAUUCACCUCUUCAAUGAGAUUAGCUUUGGAAAUGGAAGUACCUUAAUGGUGACGGGGCCAGAGUCCCAGAGCAGGACAGUAGUGCUGCAGCAGCCCGAGUCUGAGUCAGUGCAGCCAGGAGACUCUGUGACUCUGCAGUGUACAGUACACACUGAGACCUGUGCAGGAGAACACAGUGUGCACUGGUUCAGACCGGGCUCAGGAGAGUCCCCUCCAGGAAUCAUUCACACCCAUGGACACAGGAGUGAUGAGUGUCAGAGGAGCUCUGGGACUGUGUCUCCCACACAGAGCUGUGUCUACAACUUCCCCAAGAGGAACCUCAGCCUCUCUGAUGCUGGGACUUACUACUGUGCUGUGGCCACCUGUGGGGAGAUCCUGUUUGGGAACGAGACCAAGCUGGAUGUUGAGAGUAAGCCUUAAAUAUUAAUUAAUUAAUUCAUUCAUUAUCCUAACCCGCUUAUCCUGAACAGGGUUGCGGGGGGGCUGGAGCCUAUCCCAGCAUGUGGGAGGAAACCUGAGUACCCGGAGCAAACCCACGCAAACACGGAGAGAACAUGCAAACUCCACACAGAGGCCCCGACCAACCGGGAUUCGAACCCAGGACAUCCUUGCUGUGAGGCGGCAGUGCUACCCACAGCACCAUCCGUGCCGCGCAGCUUUAAAUAUACAGUAUUUAAAUACAGUAUACAGUUUUUACAGUAAUCCCACUUCAAAAAGUGCAUAUGCAUUGGUUAAUGCUAUUUCACCCAGGAGGUGUGACCAUCCUUUCCCGGCUGUCCAUC
Conger conger (European conger) is the source of this 849-nucleotide non-coding RNA. NCBI's taxonomy places the organism in Eukaryota, Metazoa, Chordata, Actinopteri, Anguilliformes, Congridae. The record is from the annotation of a RefSeq genome assembly.